AGCCUUAAAAGAAAAAGUCAUUAUCUGAUCCCUAUGCAGUCAUCCCUUAUACCUAAAAAUGGUAUUUUUCAGAAAUGAGAAAAUUCUAAAUAAGCCAUUGGGGGAAACUAAUAACAGGUUUGUGAGAAGAAGAGAGAAAGGGAAAUGAAAAGGGAUCUAUUGCACAACAAAGACACAGACACAACUGACAUGCAAGGGCUCUGUUGGCACAUGACUGCCAGGAUGCAAAGCUGGGUCUAAGCACAACAAACUAACCCACGGUACACACAGUAGCAUGACAGGCCUAUGGUUAUCUGAUUGGCACACCGUAACUGCUCUAUUUCGUGCAUUUACACUUAAGCCUCUAAUAAUAGUUCUUUGAAAAGCACUGUCUUGUAUUUAACUGAUGAUUGGCUCCAGCAAUUAAAUCCUACCACACUUUAGAAUGCUGGACUAUUCUGCUGCUUCCCAGAGUUGGAAAGAAAGGAGUUGACUCACAUCUUACCCAUCUCACUCCAGGUCAGCAAUGGCACUGGAGGCAGUGCUGGGGAUACUGAGGAUAUUGCUGUUUUGAGUGGCAUGUGUUUGCUCUGGAGAAAACAAUACAGAGCCUCCCUCGAAUGCAGAGUUAACAGUGGGGUUGUGUUUCUGAUCAACAGAAGCUGCUGGAUUACACCUUGUCCACAGAUAUAAAAAGGCUUCCCAGGAGCAGUCAUUUCUAACCUCUACUACGCAUCAGAGUCAUCCAGAGAGCUUGUUAAAACACAGAUUUCUGCGUCCCACCCUCAGAGUUUGCUGACUGAGAAGGUCUGGGUUGGACCAAAGAAUCUGCAUUUUUUAAAAGUUCCAUGGUCUAGGACCACACUUUGAGAACUGCUGUUCCAAAGAACCACCUGCUUUAUACUCUGGUUUCUCUUCGGAUCAUAUAAAUCUGC
RNAcentral lists this long non-coding RNA (914 nucleotides) under Homo sapiens (human). RNAcentral's name for it is "HSALNT0350972". Lineage: Eukaryota; Metazoa; Chordata; Mammalia; Primates; Hominidae. The record is from RNAcentral.